Molecule: transfer RNA, 72 nt
Filed under: Cylindrophis ruffus (red-tailed pipe snake)
Lineage: Eukaryota; Metazoa; Chordata; Lepidosauria; Squamata; Cylindrophiidae
Description: tRNA-Gln
Rfam family: tRNA
About the family: Transfer RNA (tRNA) molecules are approximately 80 nucleotides in length. Their secondary structure includes four short double-helical elements and three loops (D, anti-codon, and T loops). Further hydrogen bonds mediate the characteristic L-shaped molecular structure. tRNAs have two regions of fundamental functional importance: the anti-codon, which is responsible for specific mRNA codon recognition, and the 3' end, to which the tRNAs corresponding amino acid is attached (by aminoacyl-tRNA synthetases). tRNAs cope with the degeneracy of the genetic code in two manners: having more than one tRNA (with a specific anti-codon) for a particular amino acid; and 'wobble' base-pairing, i.e. permitting non-standard base-pairing at the 3rd anti-codon position.
Source: RNAcentral
UAGAAGGUAGUAUAUAUGGUAGUACUAAAAGUUUUGGGCUUUUUAGUUCAAGUUCGAUUCUUGGCCUUCUAG